UAGAGGUGAGGAGGACUAAUAUCACCUCAGUUCAUAGACGAAACUAGGAUGUUCGUGGAUGGGCUUGGGAUACUUAUGGACAGACCAACAUCCCUAACACUCUCAUGAUAAGCAAUCUCAACUUUCCCUAAUGCCACUUAAAGACAUUUUGCCUCCCUAGCCUAUUAAAGUCCACCACGACAUGAAAUGAGGGCAGUGUUGACCAUAACACAUCCCAUUUUAUUGACGCCUUCAUGGAUAAUCAUUGGAGUCUCUUGUACCAAGUAAUGAAUCUAUGUUGACCAUAACACAUCCCGUUUUAUUGACGCCUCGUCUUUUUUUUCUUUUUUUUUUUUGCCCCAAGUGAAUCCAAAUCUAUACCAAUCAUAUAUGCCUCGAAUAUCGAAGCGCAUAAUGCAUUGAAUUUCAUGGACAUCUCGAAAAAAACAACUAGUAGGUGUGAUAAAACAACGCAUAAUGGACAUAUACCAUCUCAUGCAAGUAUUUACAUCAAUCAUCGGGUGCUGCUCUAGCAUUGUCCAUUUUUCUCUAUGUUCAACUUCUAUCCAUACUCUAAUCACAUCAUCGGUCCCCCAUCAUAUCCUUGUAUAAAAUGGCAAACUCCUAUUUUGAAGGAUUUAUACAUAUUCUAUGCAGCAUAUUUUUCAAGGCAACAUUUCUAAACUUAGUGCUUAAGUUACACACAAAGUGUCGAUGAUAUCUAAUAGGCUCAAGAAAAAUAUGUGCCAUGAAAUUCUUAAUCGCCACAUGUCUAUAUGAUAUAAUACAUAACUUGGUGCAACCACCAAUUACAUAUUGAAGAAGUAAAUCUAAAAAACAACUUUAAUUAUUGCUUGUCUCUUCUUCGACAAUAACUAAGCACAGCAGAUAAACUUUAUUGUUCGCAUCAUAAACAACUGCAACUAAAAACUUUGUCAUGUACUUAUCAUAAAGGUGAGUGUCGUCAAUAUUAAUUAGAGGAUGACAAUAUUAAAACCCAUCCAUUGAAGCAUUAAAUGCCUAAAAUGUUCUCCCAAAUGUUGCCAAAUUGCCACCGAUCAUUUUAUGAUCCUAAAUGCUAUUUUUUCUUGGAUUUGAAUCCUUGAUGGAUAGUAGCAUUUUAUGUAGGUUUUGAAAUGACUUUUUAUGUGUACCAAACAACCCUCAAAUAUUUUCUGCUAAGCCAUUCAUGCCUUCCAAUAUGAGAUUUCAUGCUCAUAAUCGCUCUCCAUAAUACCUUGAAUCGUUAAGACACUUGUAUUUGUAUCUCUUUUUAUAAUUGCUGACAUCACCUCAACAAUGAAACUUAAGUCAAUCUAAUGAUAGUGUUGCAAAACAAGAGGGUUUUGACAUAUGUGUUGUCCUUUUCAGUUUUGAAAUUUUCCAUUAAUUAGACCUUUGGUGAUACUCCCUCACGCGAAUACCAUCUGCAAAUUGUUUCUUGAACCCAUUGCAACUAAACAUAAGUUUUAGUUGAACGAUGGACCUUGUACUGCAAUGAUUUCUUUAUAUGCCACUGUUUAACUAUAGUAAUACGUCCAGACAUGUUUUUGAUUUAUUUUUCAAUCUCCAAUUCAUCAAUUGAUAAGCGCGAAUACCUAUAACUAUUAGCCUAGUCAUUGCAUCCGUAUUGGUCAUCCACACUCACAACCUCGAAUUCAUGAGGAUGAGUAGUCAUGUAUUGAUUAACAAGCUCAACCAACUUAGCAUCCCCGUCUUUUCUAUCUUCUUCAUCUCCCCCCUCAACCUCAUCUCUAUCAAUGUAAUGGUCAUCUUCAUCGUUACUUGGUUAAAAUUAUUCAUAGAAAUAUGAAGCAUAUGUCAUAUCCAAUUGAGGUUUCAUAUUAAUAAUUUUUUGUACCACUAUUUGUAUCUUUGCAUUACCACCUCGCCUAAAUGGACCAGUUGCUCGUGAUGCUUAUAUGGUUCUCUGAGAGUUACUUGAAAACCGAGUCAACUCUAUACUAGAGGGAUUUCUUCAUCUAGGUAUACUAUUCAAAUAAAGCUAUAACAUAUUAAUCUCAUUAAUCCUCAUAAACCCAAACAUUGAAUUCACGCUUUCAUCACUAUAUAUUGGUACACUGACAUAACGAGCUUGACUGACCCUGGUUUGCAAUACCUCUUAAAUAAUUUCAACUUCUAUUUCAAACAUAUUAUAACUAGGCCAAUCACAUAACAUUAUAGAUAACUCAUCAAGGGACAUGUAUAAUAUAGUAGUUAGAAAUUCAUGACUUCCUCUAUUAUAAGUGACACCAUUGAUGGUAUUGACGAUGGUACUACCAUAAAAGCAUAAUAUUUCUAAAUUGCCAGACAUUCUGUCAAACAACACAACAAAAACCUAAUCUAAUUUAUUAAUUUCCCAGGGUUAAUCAAAAUGCAUAAUUUAUCAAUAAAAUCAUAACGAUAACAUAAUCGGUUAAAACCUGAAUUUUUGAAGUUAAUCGAAGAACACCUGAAUUUCACUACCAUAACAAAAUUAGCAACCCAAUUCAUGUAUUUCAUAGAUAAUUAUCUUAUUUUAUACCCAAUUCGAUAUAAUUCAUAAUUUAAUCUAAAUCAACACUAACUAUAACAAAAAAAUUUUGUUAACUCACAAUCAACAACCACCCAAAAUUAUUGAUUAUUUUAUAAAAUAACCUAGUUAUUAACUCAAAUUAUAUCUAAUUAGCCUAGUUACAGAAAAAAAUAUGAUUAUUUUAAAUCCUUAAUUCAAAACCCUAACGUUGUAUGGAAUCAAACUAACACAAAUUACAUCAAAUUGAUAGAGAAAAGGUAUUUAAUAUACCUUUAAAUGUAUAAUGUGGGUGGCAAUGAUGACCAAUAAUGGCUAUUAAAUGAAUCAAUCUUGUAAAAUUAAUCAAAUAAAAGAUUCAAUUGAAAAACCAUUCAAUUUAAAACCAAUUUGAACACACAAUACCAAACACCAAAAAAAAAAAAGAAAAAAAGGAGGGAAAUUAGGCCCAUAACUUUUUCUUAGACAUAAACAACAAUGAUAAAGGUCAAACAAGUGUCACGCAUGGUGUUGUGGAAUUCAAAUUCCCUACCGAGAUGUUGCAAUCAUUCCUGCAUUUAAGGGUUUAUGCUUCUUCUUUUUUGUGAUUUCUUCCUUUUUUGUUUUUGUUGACGUGUUCCUUUCAUGUUUUAUAUCCUUUCCCCCUCUCAUGCCAUGCCACAAUGAAUUGUGUUUAUUGUCAUUGGACUCUUCUCACUCUCCAUACCAAUGUGUUUUUGUUUUUAAUCAUAAAAUAUCCACCAUAUUUAUUCAAGUUUAUUUGAAGUUUAUUUGUUUUGAAACAAGAAUUAUUUGUAAUUGUUUUACCUAAGAAUUAAGUUACCACUAGAGAACUCAAGAAGUCCAAUAAAAGCCAUUUUUUAUAGUUUAAUUUUAAUACCUUGUUGGAGGGAUUAAACAUGGUUGUCAGGUCCAAUUCAAGGUCUAGCAUAAAAACAACUCAGUUUAAUUGUGUUUUUAUCAAAACAAUAUUAUUUUAUUUUUUAAAUUAUUUAAUAUUGAUUCGAUCAGGUUUAGAUAGGUAAUAUAUCAAUUAGUCGGAUUAAUCAGAUUUGGUUGAAAGUUCAAAUUAAAACCUUAUUAUAGUUAAGUUACAUAUUAGAAAUAUUUUAAUCGAAUCAGCUUGCUAAACCGAGGAAUGUUUGAUAGAAAUGAAAUUGAAGGGAUGCAUGGUUAGAUGGAAAGUACAAUUGGGAUUAAAAGUACAUAAUGGAUUUUGAGAUUAAUCUAUACUUUUACUCCCUUUUAGAUUCCUUAGCUUUUAGUAAACACAUGCUUGACUGUUGUAAUUUCAAUUGAUAAUUACUAAACAAUUAUAACUUGCUGGAUUGAUUGAUGGAAUUAUUGAAAAGGUUAAUUUCCGCUUAUAGUAUGCUUUAUGGACUAUAUUGUAUUGUUUUCAUGUUUUCUUUCGUAAUUUCUUGAUAUCGUUGUCAUUGAGUGGAUCUUAUAUGAAAUCUUGUGAUGUCAAGCAAUUACACGAGGGACAAAGUCACAAUUCUAAUGAGUUGGGGUUGCUAGCUUAGGAAAAUUAGAUUGAAUUGAAAAAUAAAAUAAUAAAUUAAAAAGUUAUAGAUAUAAAAAAAUAUAAUCACAAAAUUUUUGAUGUUGAGAAACAUGUAUUUCUCUUGGAUAAUCCUUAACUUGAAGAGUGUGUUGAGAAAAAUCCAAGAUUUGAGAACUAAAAUGUAAGAUCUUGGAAGUGCAAUGCCCUCAACAUCCGAUCUUGUUUCCUCCCUUUAUUACGUAUUGAGAUUGAAGAAUUACAAAAUGGUAGAGUAAAGUUUCUGAAUUAAUUUAAAUAAUCACAUAUUUGUUUUUUGAAAAUAUAAAAUAAAAACUCAAAAACACAAAUUGUUUUUGAUAGUUUUAAUCACAUUUCUAAAACUCAGUGUUUUUUUAUUAUUAAUAUGGAUGUCUGAAUUAGCUUAUGCGCAUCUCAAUUAAUCAUACGUGUCUUAAAGUUAAUGAUAAUAUAAGUCUCUAGUGACCUUGAAAUGACUCAAACUCAUGAUUAUUAAAAAGUAAAUUUAAGAACUGAUUAUUAAAUUAGCUGAUUAACACAGUAACUUUUUUAAAAUGCUGGAUUGGUGCCUUUUAUAUUUAAACAAGACCUCUCAACUGGGAUAUGGACUACGAACUACCUAUAAUUAAUGUUUCCAUGACUUUUUAUAUCUACCUUAGUUGUAUAAAAUAAGAAAAAACAGGAUUAUCCAUAGUGAUUUCCAUUUCUUGUUUCAAUUUGGUACUUGCCAUUAUUAAAUUAUACAAGGAAUGUCUUAAUUUGUUGUAUUUGUAUGAGUUUAUACUUUUCAAAUUAUUUUUUCAUUUGAAAAUUUAUAAAAUUAAUGAUUUUUAAAUGUUUUUUAUGAUUCUAAUGUGUUGAUGUAAAAAAUUAAAAAAAUAUUAUUUUAAUUUCUUUAAAAAAUAUCACAUACCACCACAUUACAGACAAACACUUAUUCAACAAAAAGUGAAGAAUUGGAGCAUUUUUGUUUGUCAAGAAUUGUGAUAGUUACACUUACAUCUACUAUAUUUGAUGAAAAAGCCAAUGUACAUGAAAAAGAAAAGAAAAAAAAGAGAGAGAGAAAAUUAAAAAAAUAAUUUUUGAAAAGAGAGGGUAUAUAUAUAUCCUUCUUAUUAUUUUUGACGAGUUCAUAUGACAUUAUCUCUCUCAUUUUUAUAUCUUCUCUUUUAUACAAUAUUUGUUGACCGUUAACAAUUGAUUAUCAUAUAAUUUUUCUAACAAUUCAGAUAUGCAGAUUCUUGUUUAAGAAUUGAUGUGGGUUUCAUGGUCUACAUCAUGUGCAAUGAAAUUUAAUAGGGUUUGCUCAUCUUCAUGCAUUCAAUUUUGACAUUAAUAAAUAUUUAUAAAAAAUUUUGAACUGUUUUAAUAUGUUGAUAUUAAAAUAAAAAAAUAUUUUAAUAUAUUGUUAAAUAAAAUAUAUUUUUUAAAAAAUACUAUACAUCAUAAUAUCAUAAUGUAAAGAUAAUUGCUUUAUAUUUAACACGACAAGGUUUUCCUAUCCACCAACAUCAUGAAGUCAUCAUCCUUAUAAUAACAAUAAUUAGAAAGAAAAAAAAAACAGUAGAAUCACCAAGCAGAACAAUGGGAAAUCAUUUACAAAUAAGCAUGAAUCGGGCACACAAAUGGACUUUUGUAGUUCUCCAAUGGAAGAUUACAACUACUCCUCCUAGUCAAUGGUGUACGUAAAUUCAAUGUCUAUACCAUGUCAAACAACAUUUCUACUAAUUUGGUUAAGUUUGUAUUUGACAUUAUAUUAAUUUUUAUGAUGAUGUAUUGAGAAAACCUAAAAAAAAAAAACACCCGAAUUGACGUAGCAGAAUCUAGUUGUAACUAAUUAAUUAUUAUUUUUAAUAAAAAAAAUGUUAUGUUGAUUUAUAUAAAACAUAAAAAGAUAAAACUAACUCAGUAACCCAAAUCAUAAGGUGAUCAUCACCUAAAAGGGUUUAAAAACUCCAAUUAAUAGUAAUAAAAGGCUGAAAAGAAAAGUGAAAAAAGAAAGGCAAGAUUACAGAAACAUAGACAUGGUGAAUAAAGGUCCCUUUUGCAUGUGUAUUUGUCGCCCAUCCCUUUAAUCUGCUGAAAGGAGUGAUAAUCCGACUCGAACUAUUGACUGUAGUUCAUGCCCUCAUCUUGUUUCUUCUAAGUUCUAACCCUUUUCAACUAGAUUUUGUUUUGAAAAGUGGUUUCUGUGUUCUUUUUUGAUGCAAUAACAGCCUAAAUGAUAAUUAUAAUUCGAUUCUCAUCUCUACAAAUCCAUCAUUUCAUUACUGUAGACAAACAAAUGCCUAUCAGGAAUUUUCCAGGAUUGCAAGUGUUUCAUGUUCAUCAAACAACAAGAGAGCAUCACUAAUCUAUGACUUGCAAGACAUCCCAUCAUAAACUUAGGCAAUAUAUAAUAUUUUAAAAUCAUUUUAAUAUAUUAAUAUAAAAAAUAAAAAAUAUAUUAUUUUAAUAUAUUUUUUAAUAAAGAACACUUUAAAAAACACUCUCAAUCAUUUUUUUCUGUAUAUUCCAAGACUCGAAAAUACGAACUUUACAUUAUAUUUUGUUUCCAACCAAGAAAAGGUAAUAUUGUGCACAAUUGAGCGAAAAAAUAAAUGAAAAAUUAUUACAAAGAAAGAAAACAAAAAAUAAAAGUGGGAGUGUGAGGUUCCUUUUUGUUAAGGUCUGUUUUUUACUCCCCCCCCUCUUUUUCUCCGAAAGAUGCUGUUUACGAGUCCUUUUCCUCUCUCAGUUCACACGCACACAAGUAUGCUCUGCUCGUCUCUUUUUCCUCAUUUUCUCUCAAAUACAGGACCAUGGAUAUAUAGAGGCCCUUCCUCUCUCGAAAAAGACUACUCCUUUUUUGUUUAUAACUAGUUUGGAAGCAGAGAAAACGAGGGAAAACCUGAGGGAAAGUUAUAAAGGGUACAUACAAUCUUUGUAAGCAUAAUCUGCAAAACCUCAUCUGGGUUUUUCUGUUCAAUCAAAUUUCUCAUCUGGGCACUCCUUUACCCCCAAAAACCUCUCUAAAAAACUAAACUUGAGAAGGCAUCAAUGAUCAGUCUCACAGACCUUUACCAUGUUCUCACAGCUGUGGUACCACUUUAUGUGGCCAUGAUUUUGGCUUAUGGUUCAGUCAAAUGGUGGAAAAUAUUUAGCCCUGACCAAUGUUCAGGGAUCAACAGAUUUGUGGCUCUAUUCGCUGUACCUUUGCUUUCUUUUCACUUCAUUUCCACCAACAACCCCUAUGCUAUGAACUACAGGUUCAUUGCAGCAGAUACUCUUCAAAAAAUCAUAGUCUUGGUGGUUUUAGCUAUUUGGACCAGAGUUAUCUCUAGAGGCUCCCUUGAAUGGUCCAUUACUUUGUUUUCACUCUCUACUCUCCCAAACACUCUUGUUAUGGGCAUCCCUUUGUUGAAGGGUAUGUAUGGAGAAGCCUCAGGGAGUCUUAUGGUCCAAAUAGUUGUUCUUCAAUGCAUAAUAUGGUACACAUUGAUGCUGUUCUUGUUUGAGUAUAGAGGAGCUAGAAUCUUGAUUGGUGAACAGUUUCCCGAUACUGCUGGUUCUAUAAUAUCAUUCAGGGUUGACUCUGAUAUUCUUUCUUUAGAUGGUAGAGAGCCAUUGCAAACUGAUGCUGAAGUCGGUGAAGAUGGGAAGUUACAUGUUACUGUUAGGAAAUCAACUAGCUCGAGAUCAGACGUGUUUUCUCGGAUGUCUCAUGGUCUAAACUCGGGCCUUUCAAUGACUCCUAGACCGUCUAAUUUAACCAACGCAGAGAUAUACUCCCUUCAAUCUUCUAGGAAUCCUACCCCAAGAGCCUCCAGUUUUAACCAUACUGAUUUUUAUUCUAAGAAUGCAAGCAAUGCCAGUCCAAGACACUCGAACUUCAGUAACCUGCAAUUUGAUGAAGAAAGUGGAGGGCUUGGGGUGUUUGGUAAUGUUCCAAGAGCAAAUGGAAGCGCUUAUCCUACUCCACCUAAUGCUGGGAUCUUUUCUCCCGGGGGUAAAAAGAAGGCAAACGGGACUGAGAAUGGCAAGGAUUUGCAUAUGUUUGUUUGGAGUUCAAGUGCUUCACCAGUAUCAGAAGGUGGCCUACAUGUCUUUAGGGGAGGGGAUUAUGGCAAUGACCUUGGUGGGGUAGCUAACCAAAAAGGUAUAAACACUAACCUUGAUAGUAUUUGUUUUUGGAUUUUGUUGGUUUCUUGCAUGGCUUGAUUGUGAUUACAAGAUAUCUGGCACAAAGUUGUGGUUUUUUUCUUGGAACCUUGUGUAUUUGUCUUGUUGAUACUUGAAAGUUAAGUGGUUUUUUUUAUUGGAGAAACCUUAUUUUCCUGUCAUGUCAAGUGGGAUUGUUGGUUUUUUGUUUGUUACAUCUUUUGUAGCUUUUCAUUUUGCCUUUGCUAUAGCAUGGGCAAUUGGGCGUAACCUUGAUGCCUUUAUCAUCAACAAGGUGUCUUCUUUAUUUUUGUUUUUAUUUCCAUAAUUCAAUCACUAGUAAAUCUUAGUAACAUCUCUAGUUAUGCAACUUUCCUGGUAUUGUGCAACCACAAUUAUUUUUGUUUUAUUUCCAUAAUUCAAUCACUAGUAAAUCUUAGUAACAUCUCUAGUUAUGCAACUUUCCUGGUAUUGUGCAACCACAAUUAUUCCCUUUUCAUUUCAUGUUUAGAGUACUAUGGCAUUUUUUUUUUCUUGCUUUAUAAAAAAACAGAGUCGUCUGUUAAUUUCAUAUUCUCAGCCACUGACGUGUUUCAGUUUUGAUGUUUAGAUUAUGAAGAAUUUGGUCGAGAUGAGUUCAGCUUUGGAAACAGACCUGUACCUAAUGGGGUAGACCGUGACGGUCCAGUGCUUUCUAAGCUUGCUUCAAGCUCCACAGCUGAGCUGCACCCGAAGAGUGCUGCUAAUGGUGAACCGAAGCCAACUGCCAUGCCUCCUACUAGCGUUGUGACAAGACUCAUUCUCAUUAUGGUGUGGAGAAAACUUAUCAGGAAUCCCAAUACUUAUUCCAGUCUAAUUGGGCUCACAUGGUCUCUUGUUUCGUUCAAGUAUGGUGCUAAACUAUACAAUCCAUAAUUUUUUUUUUGUUUAGAACUUUUAUCUUGUUGCAUUACCUGAAAACAUUUACAAUAUAACAGGUGGGACUUGGAGAUGCCUCAAAUAAUUGCUCAUUCUAUAUCUAUUCUAUCCGAUGCUGGUCUUGGAAUGGCCAUGUUUAGUCUUGGUAAGUUAAUAAUCAGAUUAUAUCAAACGAUUUCUUGACUUGUUUGCUUGAUAUGUCUUGGCAAUUGUUGACUAUAUAAAACCAUCACAUUGGAUUGUAGGUUUGUUCAUGGCAUUGCAGCCUAGGAUUAUUGCUUGUGGAAACUCAGUUGCUGCCUUUGCCAUGAGUGUUAGAUUCCUCACUGGUCCUGCAGUCAUGGCUGCUGCUUCAUUUGCUGUUGGACUACGAGGAGUUCUACUGCACAUUGCCAUAGUGCAGGUAAAACCCUGAAACCAGAUGAUAAAUAUUUCCCCAAAUGUGACCAUGGACGGUUUUUUUGUUUGAAUAUCCUUUAUGACAUACUUUGUUUGACUUUUCAGUCAGCUCUUCCACAAGGGAUUGUGCCCUUUGUCUUUGCAAAGGAAUACAAUGUUCAUCCUGACAUACUGAGCACUGGGUUCGAAACUCUAAAUUCUGCUACAACUCUAAUAUAAUUGUCUGAACUGCAUUUGUUUUUGUUUUUUUUUUAAAUAUUGGUAAGAAAUUCAUCUGCCUGUUCAUAAUUCAUUUUCAUGGGAUCACUAGGGAUACCAAUGGCUCCUUGUAAUCAUUGCAAAUAUGUUCUACUUUUUUCUUUUGUAUAAUCAAGGCUCUUAAUGCAAGAUAGUUUCACAAUACUAGAAUAUGAGCACGUAUUAGCUUUAGCUUCCACACCACUUGUUGAACUGUGUUUGCUCUUCAAUUUACACAUUAAUGAUUUUGACCUCUAAUGUUAUUUAUGUAUCUUGAUUUUCCCUUUGCUGCAGAGUUAUAUUUGGGAUGCUAAUUGCUUUGCCAAUCACACUGGUUUACUAUAUUUUGCUUGGACUUUGAAGGUGAGGGCAUCCCUGGAGCUGAUGAGCAAUGAUUAGUUACUUACGUAGGUGUACCUAACACAUUUGGCCUAUGGGAUUUUUUGGGCAUUCUCUAACAGAACGUGAACUUGAAGGGAAACUAGGGAGAGGGAUUUAGGAGUAGGAAAUGCAACAAUAUGUAAUUGUCUAAUUGAAAGAAAUCUUUUCUAGUCAUUUUGCCUUAUUCUCAUCUCUAAAGCCUUUUUGCCUUGCUCCCCCUCUGAUUAAAGAAAGUGAAGCUAGUAUUUUGAGGUUCCACUGCUUAUUAUUUAUUAACCCUUUUCAAUAUUACAAAAAAGAAGAAGAUUGUCAUGGAAAUCUGGAUGGAAGGCUCAGCAGAAACCUGUGUCUACUGCAACCAGGACCAAAACAUAAGAAAGCCAAGGAUCUACUGCAACCUGUUUCUGGGCUCUCCCUUUUAGGUCAAGGAUCUAAAAAGGUGCCGAAGGUCUCUUGUGAGGCUGUCUUCUGGAAGUGGCAGGACUUCUCCAUUGAUUCUGUGACAUGAAAGUUUUUCUUCUUUUUUAAUGAGAAAAGCAAUGAUCCUUUAAUGGUUAAAAGCUUUUAAUCUUCAUACUUCCCAUUCUUUUUCAGCCAAAUAUGCCCUAGCAGCUAUUAAUGUGUUGGUUCUAUAGGUGGUAUUCACAUAGAAGUUCAAGAAUUUAAGAAAACAGUAAUCACUUCUUUAAGGAUUCUGGAUUCCCGAAUUAUUUAAUUAAUUAUGCAAUGGUGGCAAGGUGAAUUAUUCAUUCACUUUAUGAUAAUGCUGGUGUUGCCAAGCAACAUUGGCAUCAAAAUUUGCUCAAGAAUAAAGUGGGAUAUGGUGUCAUGGAAUAUUCAUCUUUCAAGAAUUAAUUUUUUCUGUUAUUCCAAGAAGCAUGAUCUAUUGACUAUCAGUACUUGAGAUAUGGAAAGUUCUACAAAAUCAAUAUUUAGAACUUAUUUUAUAGAAAUUUUUAGUUGAUUUAAAGUGUUUCUUUAAAUUCUUCUGAAAAAAAUAAUUAAUAUCAAUUGAUUUUAAUUUUGUUUGAAAAUAAAAUUUCAUAUUAGCAGUUUUCUUUGGUAUACAUCCUAGCACUUUUCUAAUGGAGGUAUAUAUACCUCCUUGUUCUUGAAAGCUACAUGUUUCCAAAUAGUUGGAAUUGGAAGCCCACCUCCUUGGACUAGUGUUCAUACUAUAUAUUUAUACUUCUUAUAUGCUCUUUCAAAUACCAUGUUACAAUUAAUAAAGGAUAUCAAAAGAAGGAUCUUUAUUUUUAGGGUUGUAAAGUGAAUCAAUUCCUUUAUUAUGAUCCCUAAAGCCCAUUUUUAAGCUGGAAAGAUGUCAUUGAAGUCCAGAGUUCCAAGAAUUCUCAAGGAAAAAUAUUAAAUUUUGCUCUUUAAUGUUUCCUUAAAGUUCUGUUUUGGUGUCUAAAGCAAGCAAAUAAAAAUUGGCUAAUGAAAUUGUUUUUAUAUAUUCAAUUGAAUUUCAGAAAUAUACAAACAAAUAAACAUUUCAUAUUAAAACCAAAUUAUUAAAUCCUAUCAAGUCAACAACUCGGCCCAAAAAAUUAUAGGUUAGAUGAAUUAAUUUAACUAAAAUAAUAUUAUUUUAAUUUUUAUUUAAAAAAAUAAUAAAAAAUUGUUUUUAAUGUUUCUAUUUUUUUUAAAAUAAAUUAGACUAGUUUUUGAUCGAAUUGGCCAGAUUUGAUUAAAUCAAUUAUCAUUUAAUUUAAUUUAAAAUUUAAUUCAAAUUAAAUUUUGAAUCAACAUAUUACCAGAGAACCUCUCAAACUAAAUCAAGUUUAAUAACACGUAAUAAAACUCUAAAUAAACUAUUAAUAAAAAUGAAUCUUUAACAAAAUAUCCUUGCGUCUGUACUUUUCAUUCAACCUUUCAUAAUUUUAAGGGGUGUAGCUCAACUGGUCAGGUUCUAAAUUUGUUCCUUAGAGGUCAUCAUUUCGAGUUUUACAAAUCUCAGGGCUACUUGAAGUUUACAUGGUUGUUAAUUUCAGAGUUCAUGAAAUUAGUCAAGAUACAUCCAAACUUGUCAAAUAUGUAUAUUAAUAAAAUAAAAUAAAAUGAAAUGAAAUUAGUCAAGAUACAUACAAAAACAAAACUUUCUGUAACUCACCGCAGCUUCUGCUACAUUUCCUUUUCUGAUGGCCAUAGGAUCAAAUGAUGUUCCAUCAUUUCACCUCAUCAAAAGCCGAAUUCUCAGACCAAGCAUGCUUAAUUUAUGGAAUUAUAAUUAAAUAAUUGUGGGAAAGAGAAUACAGCAAUUUGCCUUUUUACUCGUAAUCUGCAGAAUGCGGUCAGUGGCAGAGACUUACUAAAAGUUCUUUUUAUGUGUGCAAUGUGACACAAUCUCCAUCCACAGCAGACAACACAGCUUAUUUGCCCUAAUUAAUACCACAAGUGGGUUCAGCUUUUCAUUUCUUUAUUUUCAUGGCUCAGAAGACACCAAUUGAAGCAUGAAAAGUUCGAAAAGUUGGAGAUGACCCUAGUGAAUAUAAUGAUGAAACCAGUUUCUUAUUUUUCUUUUUCAUGAUCUUCCAUACAAUGUGCAGCACGUGUUCCACUUUCAUGGCCACUAAGCAUCCCUCAAGGCCUUAUGUAGUUUUGGCCCUUUUGCUUUCAAUUUUUUAGUCACUUGAGCUGGAGAUCAGUGUACCUGGAAUAUUGAAUAAUCACACCACCCCAUUUGCCUUUAUAAUGUUAUGAAGGAUAUUUGAGGUUACAAGUAGUUGUAAAGUCAGAUGAAAGGCUAGUUUUACGGGGAAACCAUGGCCGGAAAAUAUGUUGGAGGAAGGUUUGAUGUGAAAGGACUGGCUGCAUGUUUUUGAAUAAUCGGGAAACGGGAAAUAUAGAAACCCACGCAGUUCCUCGCAAUGCUAAACAAAGAUCAAAUAGUGAAAGAUUAUAUACAAGAACACCAAGACUACGUGUAGCUCAAUAUUUAAAAAAUAAAUUUUUAUGUGUUGUUUGUGACUGCGAUCAAUCGCACAAUUAUCUCUAUUUUGUAACAUGGUUAAUCACGCGAGAUUAUAAUAAACCUUUGCAGUUGUAUCCAUUUAAUAUCGUAAUUAACCACGCAGUUCCUCGCAAUGCUAAACAGAGAUUAAAUAGUGAAAGAUUAUAUACAAAAACACCAAGACUACGUGUAGCUCACAUUUGAGCAAGAAGCAAGUUCUUUCUUUCUGUCUUUAACCCUUCUAAAUUUUAGUGCUAGUGAGAUUUGAUCUCACAUGAUUUGUGACCAUAGCAACUUAAUUUAAGAGCUAAGUUGGGUAGUAGUAAUACCUAAAUUUGUAUAUUAACAAGAUUUACUGGGUUAAAUUAUAUCAAAAUAUUAUUUUGAUAUAUUUUAAAGUAAAAAAUAUUUUAAAAAAUAAUUAUAAUAACACUCUCAAACAGUAAUUUAAAUUAGCGAUGCUCUCAUAGACAAAUUGUAUUGAUUACUUGAAGUGUAGUGGAAGGUCAGGGAUUGGUCAUGUUUUGAAAGAGAAGAAGUCGAAAGUUCCAAAUAAAUCUUAGGCGGCUCUAUAUUAUAUUUCGUUAACCUCUCAUUGGAAGACAACGGUAUUUUCUUUCACAUUCCUUCAUGUCAAAAUAGCUUGGGACUAAGAUGUUUGUUUCCUUUGUAUUCUCAGAUUCGAGCCCUAUGAUUACUCAUAUGAUGGUCACUGGAGGCUUACAUGGUCGUUAACUUCAGGGCCCAUGAGAUUAGUUGAGGUGCGCGCAAGCUGACCCGGACACCCACGUUAAACUAAAAAAAAAAUAGAUAGACUAUCCCAUGGAGAGAGGCUGCUCGAGAGGAACUUCGGUGUCCAUUAAGUGAAAAAAAUAUAAUGUGCGCUCACCAUAAAUCUAAUUUUAUUGACCCAAACUUUUUUUUUAUCAACUUGAGUUCUAGUUGAAACCUGUUUUUAUCCUAUGUCGGGUCUAAAAAAAUCAAUUCAGAAUUGGUUUAGUUAACCCGACGACAUAAUUUAUGAUAAAUUUUAAUUAUUUUAAAAUGAUAUUAUUUUGAUAUUAAAUUUUUUUUUUUGAGUUAAAGAACUUGAUAUAUGUUCGAUACUUGCCUGGAGUUCAAUAAUAAUGCAUCAAUCCAUUCACAUAGAUAUUUGUACGAGACAUAUUAUAAAAUAAUUAGUGAUUAACCACUUUGUGAGUGCGAAUAAAUAGCAAGCCUAGUUUAUGUAAUAACUUUUCAAAGUGAAGGAUCCAAUUACUAAUUGGUCAAACAAAUUAUAAAAUAUUUAACUCAUUAGAUUAAAAUUAAAUAAAUAAAUAGGUAAGUGUUUAGUUCAUAUGAGAAAUGAAUAUCAAUUACAAUAAUUUUCUUAUGUUAAAAACUAGUGUAACAGGAACUAAUGCAUUUUCCAUUCAAGAAAAUCUAGCUUGAAUUCAUUUUUAUUUUUAUUUUCAAAAAAUGAGUGCUUGUAUGACGUUCAAGCCCAUUAGCCCACUCAAGCAAAGACAAUUGAUAGCAAAGGCCCGAACCAGAUGGUUUUCUCCAAUGACUUAUCAGGCUUUACCGGUGGCUCGUAUCCGGCUUAAUAACUAGCUAUUUUCUUAGCCGUGAUAAAACCUAUCGUUAUAUUUAUUGGAAUAUGUUGUUUUUUAAAAUAUUUUUUAUUUAAAAAUAUAUUAAAAUAUAUAUUUUUUAAAAUUAUUUUUGAUAUUAACACAUCAAAAUGAUUUAAAAAUAAAAAAAAAUAUUAAUUUAAAAUAAAAAAAUAAAUAAAAAAAAUUUCAAAUUUUUUCAAAAACGCUUUAUCUUGUGUUUGUUUUUUCUUUUUUUUUAAAAAAAGUAAUUAACAAUAAAAUUAUCUUGUUAGAUUAAUUCACACAUUAACUGAAGCUAAAUCCCUUCUUAAAUAAUAUUAAAUAAACCUCCAUACCAGCCUUUUGGAUUAAAAAUUAACAAUAAAAUUAUCCUCUUAAAUUAGUAAAUUAAUUUUUAUAAAAAAAUCUCACAUUCAAAUCCUCGAGUCUCCUCUCUGAUUAAAAAAAAAGAAAAAAUAGAUCUCAUAAUAAGAUUUGCACAAUAUCUUUCAGUCUAUUUAAGUGCAUUUAUAAAUGGAAAGUAAUUUAACUGUUUAUGGGCCUGCCCAAUAUCCUUGUCUAGGCUUGUUUGCAAAGCCAGGAGUAGUAUUACUAAAGAAUGAGAUUCAUUAUCAAAAUGGAGGCCUACUUUAGAGUCUAUUUGGCUAAAGAUCCACAAUGUAAGAUAGAUGAGUUGACUCGUAAAUUGGAAGGUCAACUUAAAAUAUAAUUUUAUUUUUUAAAACAAAAAACAAUAUCAUUUAAUAAAAAAACUAAUUCAAAAUAAAACCCAGCUCAUAUCAAGUUAUGAAUUGAUUAAUUAUUGCAUUAACCUUAUUAGACCGAGUUUUAUAAUGUUCAAAGGGAUUGUUCUUGGACUUUGGAUCCCCUAGCUUCCAUUAAAAGUGGACAUGGUUUAUUCAUUUGCCUUUCCUCAACAUCAUUGCAAUUUUGCAAUGAUAUUCUGUGUUCUAAGAGAAGAAUCCAAUAAUUUUUUCUAUUUUUGCUACAUAAUUAUUUUCUCCUUUUAAUUGCCCUGUGAUCUUUGUUUAUGAUGAAGAAAAAAAAACUUUUUGACCGCCAUGAUGUUCUCUCUUGACCACAAUUUUAAUUUGUAAAAAUUACACCAACCAAAAAUAAUAUUAAAAAACCUUAGUAAUGGCUUAUAUGCUUCGACACACGCUAAAAAUAUUAAUCACGACUUCUAAAUUUAUUUUUCAUGACUCAAUUUAAGAUUAGAUACAUGAGUUGGGUGAGUUAAUUUAAACUAACUAUAUUGAUUUAAAAUAAUAUUAAAAUAUUAAAUUAGGAUUUAAUCAGAUCAAUUAUGUCGUGGACUUAAAUCAAUUAGUAUAACAUUAAUUAGUUUUAAUUUGAAAACAAUUUUAAAUUGAAAAUUGAUAUAUUACUGAGUUGACCCGCCAGCCUACCCGACACUUCAAAUAAGAUUGUUGAGAAGAGUACUUGUGCUUUAACAUUUGGGGACUGAUUAAUGGUGUGGGGGUGUUUUCUACCUGCCUUUCAAUGAAUUCGAAGAUUUUGAUUUUAAAAACUAAUAUUAAAUAAAAAAUAAUACACUGAGAUAAUCUUACAGAUACAUUAAUGAAUAUUAUUUACUAUUGGACCAUACAUUAUACGAAUUACGGUACUUAAGGACUGGCUAGUGGGAUUUGGGUCCGCAUAACUCUUCUUUUAAAGCAUGGAAUUUGAGUUCAUGGAAAAAAGGAUUUAUAUAAACCUUUUUCCAGAAUUGGCUUAAUUUUAGAAAAUUAUCACAAUUUGAAUGAUUGAUGAACCAGUACUGUUUUUUAUUUUAAUAUAUAUAAAAAAAUCAGAAAAAACAUAUAGUUGGGUUAAUUUCAAAUAGAUUUUUAUAAGUUUAAUUUGAUUAAUUUACUGGUAUUUACCAGAAACUAGCCAUAAAAUAAAGAUCACAAGAGGGAAAUUAGAAAUAAAAUAAGAAAUCAAAAUCUAAAGACCACACAUAUCCUAGCUCCCAUUAUCAUUAGACCUCCUUUAUGCUGGGUCCACUACUUUUGCACAUAACCUUAUCCUAAAACGACAUAAUAAGUCAAAUCAAACGACUAUAAAUAAAAUGCCCUUUUUUUCUUAAAAAAAAACCCAAAACCACCGAAAGGCAGAGAUAGAGCCCUCUACUUUUUUCAACACAAAGAAGACUGAAAAUCUUCACUUGCGGGUCAUCUCCCUUCUCCUACGGCAACCCGAAAACACAACAUCAACAUGCAGCCUGAAAACUGUCAGGAGAAUUCACAGUUGUACCGGUUUCUUACCGAGAAUGGAAUGAUUAACGUUGGUCCAUACGGUUUUCCGGCUGCGAUGCAAACCUUGUGUACCUCAUCUUCCACUUCCUACCAUAACAGUAAUUACCACUUUGAAAGGUCUGUGAUAACUGACAUGACACCAGAAGAUAGAGCUCUUGCUGCCUUGAAGAAUCACAAGGAAGCUGAGAAGAGAAGGAGAGAGAGGAUUAACUCUCAUCUUGAUAAGCUUAGAGGCCUCCUUCCUUGCAAUUCCAAGGUAAUAUAUUUAUGAUAUAUGAUCUUGCGUUUCCUUUUCUUUUCCUUUCUGAAUUGAUCAUGUUUCUACUCAUGAAGUUUAAGGGAUUAUAUUAAUACUCUUUCCCUAAAAUUUCUUGUGAGAGGAUUGUUUUAUAAGAGAAAGGGAUCACGAAAACUAAAAAGAUUGUAAGCUUUAAAGGGGUUUUCAUGGAAAAUAUUGUAAUUUUGUUCUUGCUGUUUUUACUUUUAUUUCUCUUUUGGGUUCAUACAGAACUUGAAACGAAUUGGUAUUGAUUUCGGGGUUUUCCAUAGUGUUUUGCUUCAAUAAUUUUGAUUGUUUGGUUGCUGAGAAUGCAGUGGAAAAAGUUGAAAUUUCGAGUUUUAGACUUUUCAGUCAUUAAUUACCUUUGACCCACAAAGCCGAAAUCCCUGCUGACAGACUUGACGCUUGCCCAACUCAAAUCGUUUGGCAUUUGUUGUUUACUUGAAUACCCAUUUUUUGAAGAUUAACAACAAGGGUUUUAUGUGCUUCACUCAUUGAAUUUUUUUUUUAUCCGUUUCUAUCCCUCAUUUUCUUGGUAACCAAACGGGAAGGAUCUAUACAAGGCUUAUCGCUGCUACAGUAAAAAUUCAGAUUCUGAAACCUUGGAUCUACACAAACAAGUCUUCUGAAACUUUUGAAUUAUUGUUCAAACUGCAAGUACAUAUACCUGCAAAAGCAAAAGCAGCGAACCCUUUUCUUUGCUUUUCUUUACAUAGGGUUUGUGCUUUUAGGAAAGUUGCAAGGCUUUUUACAUUUCGAAUCUACUAAAGCUAGCUAGGGUUUCUAAUCGAUCCUGUUACUUUGUUUCAAUUUUUACAGACAGACAAAGCUUCACUUCUAGCAAAGGUUGUUCAAAGAGUUAGAGAACUGAAACAACAGACCUCAGAGCUUCCUGGACUUGAAUCUUUCCCAUCAGAAACCGAUGAAGUCACUGUACUUUCUGGUGAAUAUUCAAGUGAUGGACAAUUAAUAUUCAAGGCAUCUCUGUGCUGUGAAGACCGGUCGGAUCUCAUGCCAGACCUAAUCGAGAUACUGAAAUCUCUACACUUGAAGACAUUGAAAGCAGAAAUGGUAACACUAGGAGGAAGAAUUAGGAAUGUUCUUAUCAUUGCGGCUGACAAAGAUCAUAGUGUCGAGUCGGUCCAUUUCUUGCAAAAUGCAUUGAAGUCUUUACUAGAACGCUCGAAUUCUAGCGAAAGAUCGAAAAGGCGAAGGGUAUUAGACCGAAAAUUAGUAAUCCAAUGAUGAUUAAUAUCGUUCAUGUGCUUGUCUUAGUCUCCUUUUAAUCUUUUUUUUUUUUGGAAUAUUUUUAGGUGUUGCAGGCUUGUGAUGUAGUCUGGUUAAUCUCUAUUGUGUGUUUUUGUUUGUUUUAGUGUAAACCCCAAAGAAUUGAAGGGAAAAGAAAAGGGAAACGUAUUUGUGUGAUUUAGUCUGGGUUUUUAACUGGUCUAGGGUUUUAGGAUAUUCUCAGUCUCCUUCAUGGGAUCAUAUCUUACAUGUAAGGGGAUCAUAGAGCAGAAGAAUCUAAGAAUCUGAACUGAAGAUGACGAAGAAGAUCAGAAAUCUUUGGACGUUGAAUGGCUAUGGUGUCUGUAAAAGCAAAAAACUCAUGUGAGUUUCCAAGUAGAGUUGAAGAGUAUUUCUCAGUGUGUAGUACAAGGCAUGUCAAUCUCCUACAUAGAUUUCAUAUGAUUGUCUUCUGUAAUGAUAUUUGGCAGUACAAGGCAUGUCUUUAUCUACUUUUCUUCAAUGUAUGUGUAGAACUGAAGUUCCAUUAUUGAGCAUUUUGUCUUUAAUGUACACUGAUUUUAAAGAAAGCAAGAGAAGGAAAAGAUUUUGAAGUUAUUGUAGACUGGUUGUGUUAGAUGCGUUCCCAGAAUUUGCUGUUAAUUAAGGAGUAUUAAAUUGCAGUGAAAGAGACUGAAUAUAUAGGAAUAGGACAGUAGAGAACAAGAGUUCCUGCAAGAGAACUUAAGGUUUUGUUUGUUUGGAGUUGUUUUUUUUUUCUUAAAUAGCACAUUCAUACCAAAAACUAUAUUUAGCAAACUAAAAACUAAAAAAAAUAUUUGAGAAAUAACACAUUUCAAUAAGCUGUGUUGUUCCCAUGAUAGAAACGCAUAACUCUAUUGAAAUCUAAAUAAUUUUUUUUUUUUAAAGUUGGACCGAUAGCGUAAAAGCAGCCUUCAAAAUUUCUUUCUUUUUGCGAAUCUUUAUAAUUUUUACGAUUUUUAAAGCUGUUUGUCUUGAUUAUCAUCAACCUGAAGUGUAAUCUUUCAUUAUUUAUUUAUUUAUUUUUUUUAUAUCAAGUAGAAGUUCCAUUAAGUUUUACUUCCAAACUGAUAAAUAUUUUUUUUUUUAGUUUCAAGUGUGAAUAGAACUCAAUUACUUUCAAACAGCAUUAAUUAGGUAUGCUAAUUAAUUAACUUCAACAAUGUUGAAGAUGAUCUUGCUAGUUACUUCUAUCGCAAAUGGCCUAAAUUUUGUCCCCACUAUGUGAUAAAUAAUAUUUAGCAUCAAUUAAAUAUUUUGAUCACAAUUUUUUCAGUUAUAAAUGUAUAUAUACAAAAAGAAAAGUCUAUAAGUGGGCUUACAAUACCUUUUCUAUUGCAUGAACAUGAAUUACACCAUCUCAAUUAGAUUUAUAAAACUCGAUCAACUUGGUCAUCAUCCAAUUCAAAACCUAAUCCAAGUUUGAUUUUACUUCAAAUCAAUCUUUUUUCUUCAAAAUAAUAUUGUUAUUUACUAUUAUCAAAUUAACAAAUACAAACAGAAACAUUAAUGAAAUAUUUUCAUCGGUAAAUUGCAGUGAAUUUUAUCGACAAAAAUAUUCCAUCGGUAUAUAUCGAGGGAAUUACAGGAAAAAAAUUUAAAAUAAAGCUAAAAAGUACAAUGACGUGUUAUUUAUACCGAUGAAAUUACCGUUGAUAUUAAUAUCGUUGGUAAACUGUUAACUUCUCCCUGACACUGUUCAUCAUGUCAAUUACAAAAGGUAUCACUAACAGAUUAAUUCCGUUAGUAUUUUCCAGAUAUCUUUGAAACUGUUCACUUCUUAAUUGCACUGUUAAUUACUGUUCUUUAUAGACAAAAUCACCGAUGAAUUAAAAAUGUGAUAUUUGAGGGAUUUCUGAAUUUUUUUUAUUAAAUUGAAAAUUUAAAUUAAAUAUUACAGAGAGAAUUAUUGACGGAUUGAAAAGUCGUCGGUGAUAUUUAAGGGUUUUUUUUGAAAAUUUUCAAUUAAACUGAAAAUUUAAAUUAAAUUUUACAGAUGAAAUCAUUGACGGAAUAAUUAAAAAUAUUAAAAUUUUAUUAUCCAUCAGUAAAAUGUCUUAAUAAAAAGACUAGAAUCCCUCAUUUCACAACAGAUGUCUCUUCUUCUUUUUCUUCUUCUCUCUUCUUUUUAUAUAUGUAAAAAACAUCAACAUCCAUUUUUUUCUUUCUCUUUUCUUCUCUCCUUAACUCCUCUUAUCCUCCACGCUCAAACAUGUCUUCUUCUCUUUUCUUCUCUCUUUUAAAUUUUUUUAAUUAACAUAUUUUAUAAUUUUGAUUUUUAUUUUCUCUUCCCAGCUUUACUCGCAACUAUAUUAAGGUAAUAUUUUUUUUUGUGUUUUUUUUUUAAAUUUUUAUGUUCUUAAUAAUUGUAUGAAUGUUGUUGUAGGAUUUUUUUCAUAUGAGAUCAAUUUUGUUAGAUUUUGUUUUUCAAUUUUGUUGUUUAAUUUCAAUUAAAUUAUUUUAUUUGUUGCUAGAUUAUGGGUUAUUAAAUAGGUUUUCUAGGUCAGGUGAAAUUUUUUUAUAGUUGAUUUAUUUAUUUGUUUGAGUUGAUUUUCUUCUUAUUUUUUUGAAGCAACUUAGUUCCAGAGUAUUAUGGAGUGUUGAUUUAUAUUAAUUUAAUUAUUUUCUAGUUCUAUUAAAUAUAUUUUUUUCUUAAAAUAUUUUUAAAUAAUCACUGAAGAAAUUGCAUACAAUAUUUCUGUCGGUUAUAUGACAAGCUUCCCGAGGGAAAUACUGACGGAAUGAAACAAGUAAUUUUUUUUCGGCGUGCUUAUUCUCAUUAAAUCUAUCAAUAUUAAAUAUUUUUUUUAUUACCAACGGACUCACUGACAGAUAAAAAAAUUACCGACGAGAUUUUUAUCGAUGGAGCAUUCACAUUCGUGAUCCUGUUGGUAAAUUCAUUACCGACGGAAUGAUAGUAUAAAUACCGAUGUAAAAUUUCAUCGGUAAAUAUAAGAAUUCUGGUAGUGAUUUAUUUAUUUUUUAAAUAAACAAGUCUUCUUAAUGAUUGUUUUAAGGAGAAUCUUAGGCUGAGUCGACUCCAAAGUUAGUUCUUAUAAUCAUCCUCUGUAUUUUAAUAUUGUCUUGUAAGGUUUAGUCCUUUGAUAAGUAAAGCAAACAAAAGGAAUCAAUGGUUUUGUGAUAUCGUUCAUAUUGGACUUGUGACAAUUGACCCUACUUAGAUCUUGAACGAGCCACAGAAAUGACACUUCCUAAGCAAAAUGAGAGGGUCAAAGAUCACAAAACCGAUUGGAGCCCACAUGAAAUGGAGACAAAGCAUCGCAUAUCAUGUAUAUAUAGUUUCUCUUUGAUUAUACCACAACUAAAGGGAGAUCUGCCGAUGAAGUUGUCAAUUCUUAUUGGUGUGAAUGUUAACCUAGCCGCAACAAGGAGGGUUCUUCUGGGAUUUGAAAAUCUGUUGGGGUUUGAAGUUCUGAUUAAUGGAAAAAAUGUUGUCUUUAUAUGAUUCAAGUCGUUGCUUUUUUCUCAAAAAAGUAUCUACUUUAAUUUUUGUCGCAUGGUUACAAAAUUUCUAUCAAGCAUUCCUUGAAAUUUAUGCUUUUAUGUUCUCGAUUACGCACACAUAAUAAUACCCCUUUAAGCUUUUAGAGAGACAAGAAAAAUUGCCUUUAAGAUUUUUCUUACCAAGUACAAUCCAAAACACAUUCAUGUUAGAUGUGUAUUAGACUGUAAUAAAAUCUAAUUCAUAUCGCUUAGAACAUAUACACUUACAAAUUAAUUAGAAUACAGGGUAUUAAUUAUAUCUCGUUUUUUUAAUCAGAUUUUCACCUCACCUUCUCUAGUAGAAUAAUUUUAUAUUGUAUAUUUAUUCAUUGAACACACCCAAUAAUAACAUCAAUUUGUCUAACUCCGACGACCACCGGAAAAAUGUCACUAGGUAAAUGAAUCUACGUUUUAGCUAAUUCACUUCGAUACUCAAAUAUGCAAUAGAGACUUAAUCUUAAGCUUUGCCAUUUAAUUCUUCAGUAUUGAAGAACUUAGCCAAUUGUAACAUAUAAUUAACAACAAAGUUAUUAAAUCCUAGUUGGAUUUCAUGUUGAGUAUGUUAAUUGGGUCACUCUAAAAAGGAUAUUGUUUUAAAAAAUUAAAUCAAGUUUUGAUCAAAUAUUAGAUUAAUUUUAAUUUUUUUUUGAAAACUUAAUAUGGGCUCAAAUCCUAAAGCCGGGUUUGAUUUAGUAAUUAUCAAUAAGAGAACCAUGUGGUUAUUAAUCAUCAUCAUCAACAUCCAACCUCGUCAUAAUUUGACCAAUUGUUUAAAGUGUGUGCAGUUUCAUCCACUUUAUAGGCAUACAGCAUCUGCAAAUUUUGGAGAUAGAAUAGAGAGAAGCGUGCAAAAAGGAGUGCCAGCAAAAAGAGUUCAAUCAUGGACAAAGAAAAAAGAGGUUUAGCCUUUGAAUUCAACGUGCUUGAUCGUGCGUGGGUAGGGGACUCAUUUUCCUUUUCUUCAUCCCUCUCUCUUUAUUUUUCUACGAGGAGACAAAUGCAUCGUGUAGGAGUUGGCUUUGUCGGGGACGUGCCAUUCUCUCUCGCACAUUUUUCUGUCACUGCCGCCCUAGCGUGCUGCCUUUUGCUUGCUCUUGCUCUCGCUGUUUACUUUUUUGUUUCAUUGUUUUGUUCUCUCUUCAAGCAAUCAUUACACUCAUUCCCUUUUCUCCUUCUUGGAGCUCGGGCUAAUUCUUGAUUUGUUUAGGAAUGGGCCAUUUAAGUGUACCUCUGUUUUUUUGUCUUUUUAUUCUCUUGAUGCUGGGUUUUUGGCACUUGUUGUAAUCUUGGACAAAUUUUAUUCAUUCAUUCUUGCGAUUGCCUGGCUUCGUGAGGACUAGGUAUCAUAGACUCAUAGUUGUGAGGCCUGGCAAAAGCCCCAGGUUGAGGUCUACAGUAGUAAUAAACUAGACGAAGGAUCCAUCUCACCCCAUUGGCCGUGUUACUGUUAUAGAAUAUUUUUAACCUGUAAAUAUAAAUAACUAAAUAAAUUUUUUAUAAUCAUGGCUCAAAUUUGAAAAACUAAAUGAGGUAUAAACAAUAAUGUUAUAUAUAUAUAUCUGCCGAUGAAGUUGUCAAUUCCUAUUGGUGUGAAUGUUAACCUAGCCGCAACAAGGAGGGUUCGUCUGGGAUUUGAAAAUCUGUAGGGGUUUGAAGUUCUGAUUAAUCGAAAAAAUGGUGUCUUUAUAUGAUUCAAGUCGUUGCUUUUUUCUCAAAAAAGUAUCUACUUUAAUUUUUGUCGCAUGGUUACAAAAUUUCUAUCAAGCAUUCCUUGAAAUUUAUGCUUUUAUGUUCUCGAUUAUGCACACAUAAUAAAACCCCUUCAAGCUUUUAGAGAGACAAGAAAAUUGCCUUUAAGAUUUUUCUUACCAAGUACAAUCCAAAACACAUUCAUGUUAGAUGUGUAUUAGACUGUAAUAAAAUCUAAUUCAUAUCGCUUAGAACAUAUACACUUACAAAUUAAUUAGAAUACAAGAUAUUAAUUAUAUCUUGUUUGUCAUAGUCAGAUUUUCGCCUCACCUUCUCUAGUAGAACAAUUUUAUAUAGUAUAUUUAUUCAUUAAACGCACCCAAUAAUAACAUCAAUUUGUCUAACUCUGACGACCACCGGAAAAAUGCACUAGGUCAAUGAAUCUAAGUUUUAGCCAAUUCACUUUGAUACUCAAAUAUGCAACAAAGACUUAAUUUUAACUUUUAUGUUAUUCUUAACAUUAUUAUUAUCAAACUCAUAUAUUUUAAAAAAUAUUUCAAUAUUAUUAUUUUUUACUUGAGUUUAUAUUGAUUGUUGAAACUAAUAAUAUUAUAAUAACUUUAGUUAUGAAAUAAGGACUAACUUGAUGGGUUGACUCAGGCCUGGACUUGUUCGAGUUAAAGAAAAAAAUAAAGAAAUGAUUGACUCGACCUGACUCGGUAAAAAACCCAGGUCAAUCGGAAUAAAACUAGAGUAAAAAACCCGUUGACUUUUUUAAAAAGUUUUUUUGGUCAAAACAAGAUUGUUUUGAUUAUUUUUAAAAAAAAUUUGGUUAGCCAGGUUGACCCUCCAGACCCGUGACCUAAACCUUAUCUCGGGUCGACUCUUGAGUCGGGGUUUAAAACUAUGAUAAUAACCACAUUUAUUCAUGCAUUGACUCGGGUCAUCCCGUGCUGAACCUUUUGACCCAUGACCUGGGCCAUGCCCCGGUCAACCUCUAAAUUGGGUUUUAAAACCAUGAUAAUAACUUUUAUCCUAACAUUGACAUGGGUCAACCUAUAUUGACCCGUUUGAUUUGUGAAUCGGACUUUGCCCAUGGCUAACCCCCAAAUCAAGUUUUACAACUAUGAUAAUAACUACUUUUAUUUUAUAUUGACCCAGGUUGACCUUUCUGACAUGUGAUUCGAGCUUUACCCUGGUUCAACCUCCGAGUCGGGUUUUAAAACUAUGAUAAUAAUCACUUUUGUCCUUACAUUGACUCGAAUCAAUGAUCAAACCUAUUCAUGACUCGGGCCUUGUCCGGUGUCGACCUCCAAAUUAGGUUUUAAAACUAUGAUAAUAACCACUUUUAUUUUUACACUGACUUAGGUCAACUUGACUAGUGACUCGGGCCUCGACCAAUAACCCGUGCUUUGUCCUGAAUCGAACCUCAAGUUGAGUUUUAAAAUUAUGAUAAUAACUAUUUUUAUCCCUACAUGUCUUAGUUGGAUAAUUUUAAAAUUCAGAUAUUUUUACAAGAAUAUUUUAAGAAUAAAAAAUAAUAAAUAUUGUCUCUGUGUACCUUAUGUUUUGAAAGUGCAGAAAUUCAUUCCAAAAUUAUCUCAAAGACUAAUUUAUUUUUAUGUUUUUGUCUCUAUCUCUUCAACUAAACACAUUUUUAUCUCUGUUGUUUUUGUUUUUUUUUUUUUUUUCUGUCCUAGAACAAUAAAUAAAUGUUACCUAAGAAUUGAUUGAAUAUAAAAAAAUGGAUUUAAGUUGUGAAAAUUUAUACAUAAUUAUAUUAGGUAAAAUUUAAAAUUUAAAAAGUUAUUAAUUUGAACUAGAAAAAUAUAUUACUUAGAACACUAAAAAAAUUAAGGAGGAAAUCACUUGCUUACAUUGUUCAUAUAAACAGUGAAAUAAACAUCUCUGUUUUUUUUUUGUUUUUUUAUUUCAUCAUUUAAUAAUUAACUGAUUUUGAUUUUUUUUUCAUAAUUUAUUUUAGUUUGCUUUUUAUAAGAUUAUCGCAAUCUCAAACAAAUAUCCUGAUAUGUAGUUGAUGCUUAAUUUUAUAAAUGUUUGAUUUUAUUAUUAUAUAAUUAGGUAACAAAGUUAAAAAAACAGAGUUAUUAAACCCAAUGGAAACCAUGAAAUGAGUCGCGGGUUUGGUGGGUUAAGUCAUAGAGCUCUGAUUAAAUCCAAUAUGUGGUCGUCUUAAUAUAUAAAAAAAAUAUAAUCUUUAAUUUAUUUUAAAGUAAUAUCAAGUUUUUAUUGGGCAUCCGAGUAGCAUUUGGAUCCAUCAUGUUAUCUGGAUCAUGUCAGGGCAAAAAAAUAGUUUUUUUUUAAGUUAUUAAACCCAAAACAUUUCAUGACCUGAGUUGCGGAUUUGACUGGUUAAACCUCGAAGUCUACAUCGAUCAAAUAUAUCUCUUUUUCAUUAUAAAAAUAAGAGAUACCAUCUUAUUUUUUUUCUUCAAACAAAUCAUAUUUUUACAGGUUAUUUGAUUUACUUUGGACUUACCAAGUUGACUAUGUUAUAUUAGAGCAGUUUUUAUAUAAUUUAACUUAAAACUCGAAUUAAGUAAAAAUCAGGUUGUGAUAUUUUAAGAUUAAUUUACUAAGCAGAAUUUAAUAAGAACACAAAAAAGUUUCUUAUAAACUAAAUAUUGUUUUUAUCUAACAUAUAAUAUAUCACAACCCAAUAAACUAAUAUUAUUCACACCACUUGCAAAAAGUACUAGCUGUUAGUGUAGGAAGCGAUGUUGCAAAAAUACUUUCAAGUUUUUUCCAUAGUUAUUAAAUAUGGUAUAAUAAAUGGGUUGAUUUAGAACUUGAACAACACUUUGUAAAACAAAAAAACAAAUACAAAUAAAACUUCAUUAUUUUUAUAAAAAUAAUUAACCUGGAUUAACUUAUUUACCCUAACCCAAUACUCGUAUAUGUUUCUCAAAUCGAUCUCUAUGUUAUUUGGAGGAAUUGGAAUGUUUUCAAUUCACACGCUAUAAAUUAACUACUUCAGCAGCCAUUAGAAGCAAGUGAUUCUAUCAAUGUUAACAGAGGAAAUGUUAACAGCAGCCAUUAGAAGCAAGUGCUGCACCUGCGUUGUCCAAAUCAUCACCGAAAUCCCCAGAUUUUGUUGACAACUAGUCCAAGAUACAAUUCCCCUGAAAACUGCUUUAGUGUUUUAUCAUUAAGUGGUCUCCUUGUCAAUCGAUUUUCCUUUCUUCAUUGAAAGAAACAAAAACAUUCGAAUAUCUGUUCAACAUUUUUCUAAAAAAAAAAAGUUUACCUUGGAAAUUUAAGCCCAUAUAUAGAGAACGAACUUCAGACACUAUCACAAGGCCCCCCCAAACGUUGCAUUAUUAUUUUUAGAUCGUCAUUGAAAAAAAAAAAAAAAACAUUCUUCUGUCCGGUGUGGUGUGUGGUCAGUACCCAUUUCUAACAAAAAUAUAUUAAAAAUCCCACUUUCGUUAAGAGGAGAUAUCAAUAAAUUAAAUCUUUUAUGGCAUUGAAUUUUUUAUAAAUUAAAUCUUUUAUGGCAUUGAAUUUUUUAUUUUUGCCAUUUUCGAAGAUAAAUGCUAGUGCCUAGUGGUCUAUCUUUUAUUGUCAAAGUAUAUUAAUGCUUCCGGGCUCGUCGAGAUUACAAACAGUCAUUGUUUCACAUUUUAAACUAAAUUGCAUAUAUAUAUUUUAAACUAAAUUGCAUAUAUAUAUAUAUAAUCAUGACACAAAGAAAACUACAAAUUUGAGUUAUACAGUCAAAAUUAUAAAAGUACGUACGUAGUUCUAUUAAGCAAAAAUCUUAUAAAAUAUAAAAAGAUAAAUUUAAAUACCCUAAAUAUUUAUAAAUAAUUAAGAAACAAUCAAUCAGGAAAAAUAAUAAAGCUAAAAUCCAAAAUUAACAAGGAAAAAAAUCUAAAUUAUGGUCCAAAAUUAACUUCAAAGGCAAUUUUGAGAGCUUUCAAAGUAAAUUGACAAAUCCGAGUAGAGAGCAAACUUGAGGCGUACACAGAAGCUUAUUAAACCAUCCAUUUCUUUUUGUAAGUCUCAUCCAGAAAAUCCUACGCUAAUUUUUCCGCAUCAAAUUAGAAUAUUAUGGAGCACUUGAAUUUAUAGAGACGAUGAUUCCCUCUUUACAGAUAAAGACACAAGCUUCGCCCUCAUGGCCUCACUAUCCAAUGUGUAAGUUCCUUCCAUGACCUGUAAAAUUAAUCCACAAAGUAAAAAAUUAGACUCUAAACUUUACGAAAGACAGAAACAGAAGGGCAUACAAAAAAACACAAGCAAAUGUUAUAGCACCUGAAGAUGUAAAUUAUAGAAGACCCUGUCCCCAAAUGACUCAAAGGAAGAAGAGUUUUUUAGAACAAGUCCAUCUUCCUCUAAGGUGAGCAAGAUUUCUGAUAAUGGACUUUUAUGGUUCUUGUAAGUGGAAAUAUGAACGACAACUUCUUUAUCACUAAGCUGGCUUGCCGAUACCGAUGAUAAAGAGCUAUACACGGUGUCAUUUCUUUGAUUUUCUUGAUGAAUAUUUAUACCACCUUGCUUUGAUAACUUUGAUAAAAGCUCCUCCUUUCUUUGAACCAGUCUCUCGACUUGCUGUUGAAGCUCUGGUAGGUACUUAAGCGCACGAGAAACAGUGGCCGGUACGCUUAAUUUCUUCAAAAACGAUAUCAUCACAACCAUCAAACUCAAGACCUACCUAUGUUUAAAUUAAAAGCUUCUCUUGAUUAUAACGACUUGCCUCUUAGGGUUCAAUAAGAAACGUACCAUUUGAUCUGCUGCUGGGAGAAGUGAACGAAGUGAAGAAUACAAACUUUUAAUCUUCUUGCGACGGUCACGUUCAUUAGCGUUGUGGCUAAGUUUCUUGACCAUGAUAGGAUCAACACUUCCACUAUAUGCCGUGAAUGAUGGGGAGCGAUCAAGCUUUACUAUUUGUGGCUGAGAUGGAGGGAAUUGAGUAAUUAAUGACUCUUGGGUUUCACUAUCUCUAAAACUUAGGUAGUUCCGCUCAUGGCUUGUGGGUUCCUCUACGGGCCAUCCAAAUGUUGAAAACAAAGUAGCAGGAGAUAAUUCUAACAUUUUGGAUUAGGUUUUAGGCUUUUGAAACUUAAUUAGUUUGCUAAGCAAGUGAGAGAUAUGAUUAUGACUUUAUAUCAUGAAGCUCUCAUCAUAUUUGCCUCAUCAUUUGAUCAUGUAUGCCUCAUCAUUUGAUUUUUUUAUAAUAUCAUUUGUUAUUAAAUGGUGAGAAAAUCAUUAAAAAAAUUUGAUGCCCGAAAUGUAGUUAUUUUUAUAAUAUAAGGGACUAAUGAAAAUGAAUUAAUCUACCUAGCUAGCUUCUCGAUCUUUUGCAAGAAUAUUCUUGAUGCCGUGGUACUGUAGUGAUACAACUUAUGUAUAUGAAUAGGCAGUCAAAAUAGUGAUGUGCAUAUGAAACUAUAUGCUUCUAAACAAAAGGUCUCGCUAUAAAAAUAUGAAACUGGGGAGAAAUGCUAUCAAAAUAUUACACCAUACAAGAAGGACGAAUCUUGGUCGAAUUCCAUUCCCAGUGUUGUAACCCAAUUUUGGAUCUACCAAGAUUUUCUCAAAUGUUAUUUUAUUUCUAUUAUUAUUUAUAAAAAUCCAAAAAAAUUAAGAAAAAGGAAAAUUCAAAAAUAUAUUUUUCUCGAGUCAACCGCAUCUUUCCAUAAGAACCGAUUCCACUGGGUCAAUACAGGUCAAACCAUGUCGGCCAAGUAAAAAAUGAGUUUUCGGGCCAAUCACCGCCGCACGAUCUUUCCAUCAGAAAUCCAACGGAUCACAGGCCUCAGCUGCACCGGUGUACCGUGUUUGCGUUCUCACCAUAGCAUAACCCAGAGCAUCUCUCUCCUCUCGCCGACGACUCCCUCUCUCUCCUCCGAUCUCCCAUAUCCGGCCAUAGAAAGCUUCCAAACCACCACAGAAAGGUCGCUAUCCUCAUAUAAAGCCAAUCCCCGGUCGGUUUCAUCGUUGUAGCCGCCCCGUUUGGCCGGAAAAGGGCCGCGAUCGUCGGCUGCCACAGAAGCUUCAAACCGACGAUUCUCCCUCGUCAGCUAUCAACGGCCGUCAAGACCACCACCAUCAGAACCCUUGACAUCAUAUCUACCAGGAUCGACCAUCGGUUGGCCAGAAAUCCCGCCGGAAAAUUUCGCCGCCUCCAACAGUAGCCGCGCGUGUGCCACACGCGCCGCCAGUGGCAUUUUCGUGAUUUUCAGAGAAAUUCGAGGGUAUUUCAGUAUUUUACCUAUACAGUGGCACUCAGGUAAUUUUUCGGGGUUUCUACUGGUAUUUUUGAUAUUUUUUAUAUAUAAAUGCUUGUAAAUUUUCUUGCAUGUUGUAAAAAAAUACAAAAACCAAAGUCGACACGUCUCUUUUUUCAAAAGGACCGAUGUCAAAAAUGUAAAUACCAAAUAUGGAUUAUGUCCAUUAUUUUUUGGUAACCCGGACGUAAUUCUCCUUUUUAGGGUUAAAACGUCAGUUUUUAGACGAGUCUCCUAAUUUUUAGGGACUGAUGUUAUUUUUAACGUGUCUCCUAUUUUUAGGGACCGACGUUAACCAUUUGAAAAAAAACAAAUUACCAAUAAACCCAAAAUAUAAUGGAUUAUAUCCAUUAUUUCUUUUGAUAACCCAGACGUAAUUCUCCUUUUUAGGGUUGAAACGUCAUAUUUUAGACGAGUCUCCUAAUUUUUAGGGACUGAUGUCAUUUUUAACGUGUCUCCUAUUUUUAGGGACCGACGUUAAUCAUUUAAAAAAGAAUUACAAAUAAGCCCAAAAUAUAAUCGCAUUUGAAUCAAAUAAAAACACACAAGUAAGGGUAACCUUUCUUUUGAAAGGAUGUUUUAAGGGUGGUGUCUACCUUCCCUUAAUCAUAACUAACCCCGUACCCGAAUCUCUGGGACCAGUGUCUAAUUUGGGAUUUCUAGUUCCCUCAAAUUACUAGAUGGCGACUCCAAUAAAAUCUUUGUUUCCCCCAAUCGAGAAAAAACCCUUUUUGUUAAAUAAACAAAAAAAAGCGGGAGCCGUCGCCCGACGUCGUGUAUCGACAGAAUGGCGACUCCACUGGGGACUUAGGGUUGAGCCAACUGCUUGUGUUUGCUUUUCAUUUGCUCUUUCUUAUCGCUAUUUAUUUUUGGGCACUUAUUUUAUUUGCAUUAUUUAUUUUAUGCAAUAUCUACUGUGAUUCUUUUCAAUUUUUCAUUUCAUAACAUACAUACAUAUUAUUUAUUUGUGUAUUCACACACUUCACUGUGAACCCAUAAAAGCUCUGGACCCGAGCUCGUCCUUUUUAAGAUUAGAAAAGAGAGAUUCAAGUGGCAAGUGUGACUUAUGUCCACUGAUGCUCAUUUGGACUUUUGCUUGGAUUGUAACUCACCCUAUGCAACUAGUACUGUGGAGUCUUUCUCCCCUACUCAUGUUGUAUAAGGUUAAGAGGCCGAUUACUUCACGAGUAAUUCGGGCAAUCUAAGAACCGGAGAAUAUCUUUAAGGAUAGACUAAACUGAGCCAAACCUUAUGAGCUAGAUCCUAUCAAGUAGGAUAUACCCAUUAGGACACGAACAAAUGUCAAUGCAUGAACAUGCAUGUUCAUAUACAUUUCAUGUGCUCAUUAAGUCUCCACCGAUCCUUACAGGAAGUGUGAGAUGGAAAAACCCAUUACUAUUGAGGAAUUUUUGACCAGAUCAGAAUUGAGCCAACAUGAUGAAGGGGAUUGUUUGCCAUCAGAAUUUGAGUCUCAGUUGCCAGAGCAUGUUAAAUUAGAUGACAGACCACUUGGUACAGGACAACUGCUAGACUGCUGGGAAAAGUUAUCCUCUCAUGAUCAAAUCACUUUUCAGAAACAAUAUGGGGAUCUAUCACAUUUACUGAAAAUUAGGGUCCAACAUGCUUGUUUUCAGGCCAUGAUAGGGUUUUGGGAUCCAGAAUAUCGGUGCUUCACAUUUGAUAUUGUGGAUAUGACUCCUACUAAAUUGUCCCAAGUCAGAAAAGGUGUACUUUUACACACCUAUAGAGCAUGCACUUUCUAACUUUGCUUGGAUUACCCAGAUAGACUGUCAACUAGCAAAAUCACAUGCAACUAAACGAGGAAAUAGCCAGGGUUGGUUUUGGAAUGAACUAGAAGCCAUAUUCAAGAAGAGAUUACAUGAUGAAAGCAAUGAAAUUCGAUUGAGAAUUUUGGCCUUAGGCAUAUAUGGUUUGGUUCUUUUCCCAUCUGCUGAGGGAAUGAUCGAUUUUGAGGCUGUUAAUGUAUUCAAAAAUGUGGUGACCCUUAAAAUUAACCCUGCUACAGCAAUAUUGGCAGAAACUUUCUCAUCCUUGAAUUAUUGUAGAAAAGCUAGAAGGGGUCGUUUAAGAUGUUGCUUACAGUUAUUGUUUGUCUGGACUGUGAGUCAUAUGAUUGAGGGGAAGAUUUCAGGUUUGGUUGGCACCCCAUGGCAUCUUUAUUCUCAGCUGGAGAAUUUUGCUGAAAAACACUUGCAUGAAGUAGGAAGAACCACAUGGGAAUCAAUGUUCCAAAGUCUAAGUAAAUCUCAAUUUCAUUGGAGAAGUCGAUAUGCUUAUUUCAAAUCUUAUCUGGCGUAUUGUGGUGAGUACUCAUGGGUCCCGUUGAUAGGAGCCCGCUGCUGUAUUAGUUACUGUCCUAACCUGGUUUUACGACAGUUUGGAUUUGAGCAGUUUAUUCCAAGGACUACUAAACUGGCAACAUUUUAUGAAGAUUUCAAGACCUCAAAGAAAUUAUUGGAGUCAGUGAAGAAGGCAUGGAAACAUCCUGGUAGGGUUACUUCUGCUAAGAGAGUAGAAGGAAAAACAACUGAAGGAUAUCCAAUAUGGCAAAAGAAGAGAGGGAAAGGGUACAAAGUUCCUCCUUUUGAAGGACCACCCAGGUCUUUGAUUCAGUCUUCUGAAGACAUACACGAAGAAGUUCACGCCCAACAAGAAUCUUAUAACCUAAGUUUGAAUGCUGAAGUGGAAGAGUUAGGGGCUAAAAAAAGAAAGUUAGAAUCUAAUCUAGCCACUCGAGAAAAAGCUUUGGUUAUCAUAAAACAGGAAAAUGAUGACUUGUCAGCUCAGCUACAACAUCAACAACUUGAUUUCCAGCAAUUACAAGAAAAAUAUGUACUUUUGUCAGAAGAUAAGACGAAGCAAGAUGUCAACAUGAAGAGAUGGGUUAGAAGAGCAUCGAAAGCUAAGGAAAUGGUAUUAAAGUUGGAAGAGACAAAUAAAUCACUUCAGGAGCAACAUCAAAAGCAAGAUGUAAUAAUUGCCAAUUUAGAUGAGCAUUUAGACCAUUUGCUUUUUAUUGAGCAAACUUUAUCAUCAGAAAAAGAAAAGGCAGAAAAAGAAGCAGAAUGUUGGGCUUCUGAAGCUAUGCGCUAUCAUGUACAAGCAGAUGAUGCCAAGAAUUAUGCUUUAGGAUUAAGAGGCCUAGCCCAACAAAUAGCAGAUGGUGAGCCAAUGACCAGAAAUGAAUUCCAUCAGUUUUUUGGGUUGAUCAGAGAUGGAAUUAAUGAGAUCUCAGCAUACGACGGUCCAAGGCUUUGGAAAGAUUGACUUGUUGUACUUUUAAUAUUAUCAAUUAAUAAAAGACAAUUUCAUCAUCUUUUUGUUAUGAGAAAUGUUUAUUCUGAUUGAUGGCAUCAAAUUUCUCCCCUAAAUCGGUUCAAGUUCCUGUAGGUUUGGAGUCCUCAGUGAGAACUUUCUUAAGAGAAUCUGAUCUGGUCUAUUCCUCGUCAUAAGGAAACCUUGAAACAAAUAACAAGCAUGCAUAAAACAUAUGGCAUUUUGCAUCCAUUUGUGCAUUUCAUUCAUUUAUCAAGCAUGCACACGGUUGAAACAUAAGUUCCCCCACCUGCUGAGGUCUACUCGAUUCAUAAAUCUGUUUGAAUAAGUGUUGAGCUUCAAGAAUGGAAAGGAAACGUCUGCAUAGUCUCUUGUGUGGAACACUACUUGUCCACGUUCCAUUGAAGUUGCACCUCUCCUUUUUCAUCAUGAACAAUGACAGCAAUGCCUUCAGUCACAAUUAAUGACGACAACCCUUGUUCUCGUUCAACUGCACUGAUAGUCGUUCAAAGCCUUCACAUAUUCCAAGAGCACAUAAUAGCUGCUAGCUUUCUGUUCCUGUUGCAUUGACCUUUUUUCCAGACAUCUCUAUUGUGAACACCAUUCCGAUCCAGCAGUAUCGGAUGCUGCUCUGAGAAAAACAAGAGCAGACAUUGAAACUUUAACAGAGCAGAAUUCCCACUAUAGGUGUUUGUUUGUUGCACUGCCAGUGAGGAAUCAAAGAGGAGACAAAAGGGUUUUCAGAUUCAUCAGUUUCUCUUCCAGUUGAGACAACGCAUGAUUCACACGUCAGCAGUGGUGGUGCUGCAUGUUUCUAUGCGCUACCAAGAUUGCCUGGCUGUUGGAAAGUUUCUACCAAUCCACAAAUAACCACAACAACAUUGGAAAGAUUGGUAUGAUGUUGUGAGGAUUGUCGAAAGAUUGAACAAGCUACAAAGAGGGGAAUGAUUGAAGAUUCUACCACGAAUUCUAGAACAAUAAUGAGAGAUGAAUCAUAGGAUGCCUCUAACGAUGGGAAGCCUUAAUUAUGUGGUCCAACCAGGUCUCACUGUAACAUCAAUUGCUCAAAUGUCUUUGCCACGAUUGACAUACCUCNNNNNNNNNNNNNNNNNNNNNNNNNNNNNNNNNNNNNNNNNNNNNNNNNNNNNNNNNNNNNNNNNNNNNNNNNNNNNNNNNNNNNNNNNNNNNNNNNNNNNNNNNNNNNNNNNNNNNNNNNNNNNNNNNNNNNNNNNNNNNNNNNNNNNNNNNNNNNNNNNNNNNNNNNNNNNNNNNNNNNNNNNUAUCUCCUUUUGAGUGCGCCUUUGAGCCCUCACCUCCAUUUUGGGUGCGCUUUUGAGCCCUCAUCCCUUUGGUAGUGUGUUUUCUAACCCUACCUCCUUUUGAGUGCGCCUUUGAGCCCUCACCUUCCUUUUGAGUGCGCCUUUGAGCCCUCACCUCCAUUUUGGGUGCGCUUUUGAGCCCUCAUCCCUUUGGUAGUGUGUUUUCUAACCCUACCUCCUUUUGAGUGCGCCUUUAAGCCCUCACCUCCAUUUUGAGUGUGCCUUUGAGCCCUCAACUCCUUUUGAGUGCGCCUUUGAGCCCUCACCUCCAUUUUGGGUGCGCUUUUGAGCCCUCGUCCCUUUGGUAGUGUGUUUUCUAACCCUACCUCCUUUUGAGUGCGCCUUUAAGCCCUCACCUCCAUUUUGAGUGUGCCUUUGAGCCCUCAACUCCUUUUGAGUGCGCCUUUGAGCCCUCACCUCCAUUUUGGGUGCGCUUUUGAGCCCUCGUCCCUUUGGUAGUGUGUUUUCUAACCCUACCUCCUUUUGAGUGCGCCUUUGAGCCCUCAACUCCUUUUAGGUGCGCCUUUGAGCCCUCAUCCCUUAGUAAAAGAUACAUGAAUAUCAUUGGGGGAUUUUGUGCCAUUCAGUUGAACGGUUGCAAUAAUUUCAAGAAUCAAGUUGAGUUUGUGCAAAAUGACGUCAUCGGCCAUAUUGUCACCUCAACAUCCUCAGAUUGACAAGUGAUCGAAAUGCUUGGCAAAACACAGAUAUCGCCAGAAAAGCUGGUCCAAGAAGAGUGUUAAACUGUCGAUCCUUUUUGUUAUGAGUUUUGUCAUUCUGCAUUUUAUUUUGGGAUCACAUCUCAUCUUUUAACGAAACAUGUCUUUUCUUUGUCCCUUUGUUGUUAUGAAAGCAUGAGAUGUUUCUUUCAAAGGUUAUUUUGACAAAAUAUUUUGAUCAAGCUCCAACAUGCGUUUAAGAUUAGUCAAUCCUGAAGAUUAAAAUUAUGUUGCUUGAAUGACUCAAUGCUUACUGAAAUGACAUGAGAUGACCAAGAAACUUUUGAGCUCACACAUGAAAUUGAACCACACACCAUAUAGCUAAGUUUUAGCAGUAUGCAUAAUGACACGUAGUGGAUUCAGUAGUUAUGGACUCGUGAAUUAUGAUUCUUACAAGUCUAAAUCAUUACAUUGGAUGAGGUCAAAAUUUAUCGGUUCUAACCGACCUUGCUUGAGAUGAGAAAAGGCCAUUUUUGUUUCAUCCUUUCACAAUUCUUGAAAUAUAUAUCCCUUGCAGUCCCAUUUUGAGCUGAUAGAAUAUUUUUUUCAUAAAAAAACCCUGACUAGGAUCACACCCCACACUAGGGGCAAUGAGAGUUUUUUUUUUCCUAGAAAAGACGAAGACAAUGUUAGAGUCGAUGGAUCAAAGGGAAGGCUUAGAACAAAAGUCCAAUGAUUGAGAAAGGGCUAGAAGAAGAAAGCCAAAGAUUGAUAAAGACACAACAAAUACCAAAAGUUAACACGAAAAAAUCAAGUGUUAUGUCUUUUGGUGUGUCUAUGAUAAAGCCUUUAUGAUCUUCAAAAGAUUAGAUUGGCUAUUCAUCAAAGAAAAGUUGGAUUUGCGUUAUGACCUAUGUUAAACAAAUUUUGAUUUUUGAGAUUAACAAGGUUAUAUGUCACUGUCUCUACCAAGACAACGUGAGGAAAAGAGAUUGAUGAGUAAUUGAUGGUGAUCCUCGGUUCUUGAAACCCUCAAACACCUUUUGAGCUUGUGAAAUUCCUUUCUUUCAUAGCCAUGAACCAUAGCCUACAUUACGUGCUUUAGAAAGUCCUUUUUAAUCAAGUAAGCAAUCUGAACCGAUAAAUGGCGAUCUCAAAAAUUGAAGAGUUCUUCAUACAGGUCGUGACUUCAUGAAUCAAGCUACUGAUUAUUAUGCAUGCUGAUAAAAUUGUUGCUAAGAAAAAGAAACAAUCUUUCUUGAUAAAGCCUCAAGUUUUGACUCGGGUACCUUGUUUUCCACAAAUUCAUAAAAGGUCACCUCAUCACAGACAAUCAAAAGAUAUACCCAAAAUUAGAGUUUAAAAUGGAUACAAAGAACCAUGGAGAAACCAUUUUAAUCUUACAACGAUUCAAUUUCUUUUCUCUCAAAAUACAAGACAAUCAAAAGACUAUAUUGAAUAGCGUGUGUUGGAUCUUUGACCAAUAAAGCUUGAUUUCCAAAUAUACUUUCAAAAAUUGACAUCUCUCUGAUUUCAUUUCAACAAUCAGACUUGAAUAGCCAUGACCUUUGAAAUGUGAGAUUUGAUUCCAAAAUAAGAAAGAUUUUCAAACAAGAAAAACAUCAACCAGGUUUGCAAAUUCCUGACAGAAAUGACAUCAAUUCUUCUCGACACUGAUGAGGGCAAUACAAUGGACCUCUGAGAAGGAAAACAAACAAUGUUUAAAUCAGCUGGGGGAUAGAGAUGAUCAAAUGAUGAAUCAAUGAACUGAGGACAAUAUGGUUCAAAGAAAGAUAAUCAGUGAAUGAGCACAUUCAGAUCAAUUAAGGGCAAUGAUGUUCAAGAACGAUUUAUGAUCCAGUAAACCCCGACAACAAUUAAGAGCAAAGAUGUACCUGAAGGACAUCUUCAUAUCUUCAUCUUGGUUUAUCAUCUCCAAUAUGGCUAUGACUAUUGAAAGAUGUUAUCACAUGAUUGCUUUUGAAUGAAUGUUGGAAGGAUGCAUCGCACCCACCUAGACUGACCGUGGGACCAUCUGAUUUGAAGCUCAAAUGCGCAUUGCACCACAUGAGUAUGGGUGAUAAAAGCAACAUCAUUGAUGAGGCCAAGACACUUCUUUUCACAAUCUGGUUAGAUGAGUUGAGAAGAACUUAUUGAGAAAGAAACUGAGCAUACAACGAUGAGCUUUUUACUGCAAAGUAUGAAAUGCAGGUCUGAAUGACAUGACAGUUCCAUGAAAGUGGAUGACCGCAUAUACUUAAAGGGUAUGUUUCAACUGGAGGUGAGUUCAUAACUGAUUGACAAUCUUGAUGGGUGUUGGCACGAUGCGCACAAUCAAUCAGAGAAUAAUUCUUGAAAGAAUCCAGGAGAUGAACGAUUUGUUAAGCUUCUUAAUGAUAAAUCAAGCAACACUACACUUGGGGGCAUUGUCAAGUGAUAAACAGCGAGAGCAGUAAUUAUCGCGGACAACCCAAGAUGGGCACUGCAUUUACAGCUGAGUGGAUGGCUAGCACAUGAAUGAGCCAAUGCAUCGAAAGAACAAAGAAGGCUUUGGAAUGCAAACAAAGCCACCCUAUGACGAUGAAGCAUCAAAGAGGGGGGAACCUAUAUUUCAAAAACAGGUAAGAUGCAUUGCAUAUCAUCUAACUUCACAUGCAUUGCAUAAUUGUUUUGCCGAUAUUCACGAAACAAAAUUCCACUGCGAUCCAACGAGACUCACAUGACUUGAANNNNNNNNNNNNNNNNNNNNNNNNNNNNNNNNNNNNNNNNNNNNNNNNNNNNNNNNNNNNNNNNNNNNNNNNNNNNNNNNNNNNNNNNNNNNNNNNNNNNNNNNNNNNNNNNNNNNNNNNNNNNNNNNNNNNNNNNNNNNNNNNNNNNNNNNNNNNNNNNNNNNNNNNNNNNNNNNNNNNNNNNNNNNNNNNNNNNNNNNNNNNNNNNNNNNNNNNNNNNNNNNNNNNNNNNNNNNNNNNNNNNNNNNNNNNNNNNNNNNNNNNNNNNNNNNNNNNNNNNNNNNNNNNNNNNNNNNNNNNNNNNNNNNNNNNNNNNNNNNNNNNNNNNNNNNNNNNNNNNNNNNNNNNNNNNNNNNNNNNNNNNNNNNNNNNNNNNNNNNNNNNNNNNNNNNNNNNNNNNNNNNNNNNNNNNNNNNNNNNNNNNNNNNNNNNNNNNNNNNNNNNNNNNNNNNNNNNNNNNNNNNNNNNNNNNNNNNNNNNNNNNNNNNNNNNNNNNNNNNNNNNAUCAUGUCUCUAGCCACAGCUACAGCAAUAUCUUCAUUGUCCAUUACAGUAUCCUCUAUUGUAACUGGACGACCAUUCACUUCAAAGGUAGUACGCCAAACUGCAGGCUCUACUACAGGAACAAGGUUUGGGUUAGCAUUGGAAGAAGAGGAAGACAUGGUUAAAGCUUCAAAAGUUAAGAACUUUGAGAGUAUUGAAAAUGCAAGAAGUUGAUGAUGUCUUUUGCCAAAUACUGCGUGAUUUAUAAGGAAUUUACUCCUACCAUCGUUUUGAACGGCAGCUCGAAUCCCAACCAUACAUACAUGACUUCCUUGAGAAGCUUUCCUCAUUUUUGGGAUCCACAAAUCGAAUCCCAACCAUACAUACAAGACUUUCUUGAGAAGCUUUCCUCAUUUUUGGGAUUUACAAAUCAGAUCUCAACCGUACAUACAAGACUUUCUUGAGAAGCUUUCCUCAUUUUUGGGAUCCACAAAUCGAAUCCCAACCGUACAUACAAGACUUUCUUGAGAAGCUUUCCUCAUUUUUGGGAUCCACAAAUCGAAUCCCAACCGUACAUACAAGACUUUCUUGAAAAGCUUUCCUCAUCUUUGGGAUCCAAUUACAAAUCAAAUCCCAACCGUACAUACAAGACUUUCUUGAGAAGAUUUUAUCAUCUCUGAGAUCGAUUUACAAAUCAGAUCUCAACCAUACAGGUAUGACUUCCUUUAGAAUUUUUCAUCAACCCUGAAGCUGAUUGUUGAAAUCACUUUCAUGUAUUUCACAAAAAUGUUGAAAUCACUUUCAUGUAUUUCACAAAAAUGUUGAAAUCACUUUCAUGUAUUUCACAGACGGGUCGGUUCACAAAAACAUUGUUGAAAUCACUUUCAUGUAUUUCACAAAAAAAAAAACCAAUGUUGAAAUCACUUUCAUGUAUUUCACAAAACCAUUGUUGAAAUCACUUUCAUGUAUUUCACAAUGCUAAUCUGAAAUCACUUUCAUGUGUUUCAGAAAACAAAUGUUGAAAUCACUUUCAUGUAUUUCACAAUGCUAAUCUGAAAUCACUUUCAUGUGUUUCAGAAAACAAAUGUUGAAAUCACUUUCAUGUAUUUCACAAAAAAAAAAAAAAAAAAAACAAAUGUUGAAAUCACUUUCAUGUAUUUCACAACAUUAAUCUGAAAUCACUUUCAUGUAUUUCACAAGAUCAAUAUUGAAAACACUUUCAUGUUUUUCAUUUGGGCAGGUCGCCCAUAAGAAUUAGACCAACUGAAAAAUCUGUGUAUUUUUCAACACUUCCAUCAUUUUUCUUUACAAAACUUACUAUGCAAAGUCAAAAGAAAAUGAAAUUUCCAAUGCCUUUGCACCGUAAGCAUUGUAAAGAGGGGGCAACUGUUGUAACCCAAUUUUGGAUCUACCAAGAUUUUCUCAAAUGUUAUUUUAUUUCUAUUAUUAUUUAUCCAAAAAAAUUAAGAAAAAGGAAAAUUCAAAAAUAUAUUUUUCUCGAGUCAACCGCAUCUUUCCAUAAGAACCGAUUCCACCGGGUCAAUACAGGUCAAACCAUGUCGGCCAAGUAAAAAAUGAGUUUUCGGGUCAAAACCGCCAUUUUCGGUCAAAACCGAGUCCACCGAGUCAAUACGGGUCAAAAUAUGUCGACCAGGGUAAAAAAUGAGUUUCAAGCCGUUUCGGGUCAAAACCGUCAUUUUCGGUCAAAACCGAGUCCAUCGAGUCAAUACGGGUCAAACCAUGUCGACCAGGGUAAAAAAUGAGUUUCAGGCCGUUUUCGGGUCAAAACCGAGUCCACCGGGUCAAUACGGGUCAAACCAUGUCGACCAGGGUAAAAAAUGAGUUUCAGGUCAUUUUGGGUCAAAACUGUUAUUUUCGGUCAUUAAAAUUGAUUUUUAGCGGUUGAUUCAGGCUUUUUCUAAUACUGAUUUGAAUUUUUUAACUUUACCUAUAUAAAUAUUUAUUAUUAUACAUAAUAAAAACAAAAGUAAUACAAUUUGUCAGCGGGCAGUUGCGCCGAAAGCAGGUGAUCCAUUUUUUUCUUUAAAGCAGAUCGAUGGAUGAUUUUGAUGUCCCCUCUAAUUGGCUAUAAAUAGCCAGUGACAGUGCGCCAGAGGGGGAAGAAAAAGAAAAGAAAAGAGUAUCCGGAUCACUAUUCAAGUUUUUUUUACUAUUUCUUCACGAGAGUAGGAUAUUAAUUUUUAUUAAAAACAAUAUGAAAAAUACCAAAUAUAUCCUACCCGUUAGAUCUAAUAGUGUUUAGAUCUGAACCGUUGAUUUAAGAGUAUACAAUAGGGCUUACCACACCAGAUUAAAACCCCAACACAUCUCAGCCCUUGAAAAAAUCUGAGCUUUGAUCCCGUUGCGCCACGUCACCCGGUGUACCGAGACUUAGGUGCACCGCGGCACACCGGAUCACACCUCUGUUCAUCCGGACCGUCCGAUCAACCUGCAGAUCGGGCCAAUCACAGCCGCACGAUCUUUCCAUCAGAGAUCCAACGGAUCACAAGCAUCAACUGCACCGGUGUACCGUGCUAGUGUUCU
Molecule: long non-coding RNA, 40930 nt
Filed under: Populus trichocarpa (black cottonwood)
Lineage: Eukaryota; Viridiplantae; Streptophyta; Magnoliopsida; Malpighiales; Salicaceae
Description: long non-coding RNA (PTRI_LNC001658)
Rfam family: MIR478 microRNA precursor family (bases 30096-30186)
Source: RNAcentral